GAUGAACGCUGACAGAAUGCUUAACACAUGCAAGUCUACUGGAACUUCGGGUUGGGUGGCGGACGGGUAAGUAACGCGUAAAGAACUUGCCUCACAGAGAGGGACGACAUUUGGAAACGAAUGCUAAUACCUGAUAUUAUGAUUUUAGGGCAUCCUAAAAUUAUGAAAGCUAUAUGCGCUGUGAGAGAGCUUUGCGUCCCAUUAGCUAGUUGGAGAGGUAAAGGCUCACAAAGGCGAUGAUGGGUAGCCGGCCUGAGAGGGUGAACGGCCACAAGGGGACUGAGACACGGCCCUUACUCCUACGGGAGGAAGCAGUGGGGAAUAUUGGACAAUGGACGAAAAGUCUGAUCCAGAAAUUGUGUGUGCAAGAAGACGUUUUGCGUAAUGUAAAGUGUUUUCAGUUGGGAAGAAAAAAAUGACGGUACCAACAGAAGAAGUGACGGCUAAAUACGUG
Molecule: ribosomal RNA, 454 nt
Filed under: uncultured bacterium
Lineage: Bacteria
Description: partial 16S ribosomal RNA
Rfam family: Bacterial small subunit ribosomal RNA
Source: RNAcentral